CCUACGGGAGGCAGCAGUGGGGAAUUUUGGACAAUGGGCGGAAGCCUGAUCCAGCCAUGCCGCGUGCAGGAUGAAGGCCUUCGGGUUGUAAACUGCUUUUGUACGGAACGAAAAGGUCUUUUUUAAUAAAGAGGGCCCAUGACGGUACCGUAAGAAUAAGCACCGGCUAACUACGUGCCAGCAGCCGCGGUAAUACGUAGGGUGCAAGCGUUAAUCGGAAUUACUGGGCGUAAAGCGUGCGCAGGCGGUUAUAUAAGACAGUUGUGAAAUCCCCGGGCUCAACCUGGGAACUGCAUCUGUGACUGUAUAGCUAGAGUACGGUAGAGGGGGAUGGAAUUCCGCGUGUAGCAGUGAAAUGCGUAGAUAUGCGGAGGAACACCGAUGGCGAAGGCAAUCCCCUGGACCUGUACUGACGCUCAUGCACGAAAGCGUGGGGAGCAAACAGGAUUAGAUACCCUGGUAGUCCACGCCCUAAACGAUGUCAACUGGUUGUUGGGUCUUCACUGACUCAGUAACGAAGCUAACGCGUGAAGUUGACCGCCUGGGGAGUACGGCCGCAAGGUUGAAACUUAAAGGAAUUGACGG
RNAcentral lists this ribosomal RNA (585 nucleotides) under uncultured bacterium. Its description in RNAcentral is "bacterial SSU rRNA". It matches the Rfam family "Bacterial small subunit ribosomal RNA", at positions 338 to 916 of the family's 1533-position model. The record is from RNAcentral.